Molecule: ribosomal RNA, 253 nt
Filed under: uncultured bacterium
Lineage: Bacteria
Description: partial 16S ribosomal RNA
Rfam family: Bacterial small subunit ribosomal RNA
Source: RNAcentral
UACGUAGGGUGCGAGCGUUGUCCGGAAUUAUUGGGCGUAAAGAGCUUGUAGGCGGUUUGUCGCGUCUGCCGUGAAAAUUCGAGGCUCAACCUCGAACUUGCGGUGGGUACGGGCAGACUAGAGUGUGGUAGGGGAGACUGGAAUUCCCGGUGUAGCGGUGAAAUGCGUAGAGAUCGGGAGGAACACCAGUGGCGAAGGCGGCUACCUGGACCAGCACUGACACUGAGGCACGAAAGCGUGGGGAGCAAACAGG